This 494-nucleotide ribosomal RNA is filed under the name uncultured bacterium. RNAcentral describes it as "partial 16S ribosomal RNA". It matches the Rfam family "Bacterial small subunit ribosomal RNA", at positions 28 to 507 of the family's 1533-position model. The record is from RNAcentral.
GACGAACGCUGGCGGCGUGCUUAACACAUGCAAGUCGAACGGAAAGGCCUGCUUUCCCUUGUGGAUUGCGGGUACUCGAGUGGCGAACGGGUGAGUAACACGUGAGUGAUCUGCCCCCAACUUGGGUAUAAGCCUGGGAAACUGGGUCUAAUUCCCGAUAGGACUGCAGGGUGGUGCCUGUGGUGGAAAACGAUUUUCUAGUGGUUGGGGAUGAGCUCGUGGCCUAUCAGCUUGGUGGUGGGGUAAUGGCCUACCAAGGCGGCGACGGGUAGCCGGCCUGAGAGGGUGGACGGCCACAGUGGGACUGAGAUACGGCCCAGACUCCUACGGGAGGCAGCAGUGGGGAAUAUUGCACAAUGGGCGGAAGCCUGAUGCAGCGACGCCGCGUGGGGGAUGACGGCCUUCGGGUUGUAAACUCCUUUCGACCGCGAGGAAGCCACCUGGUUGGAAGGGUGGUGACGGUAGUGGUAGAAGAAGCACCGGCUAACUACGUG